Molecule: ribosomal RNA, 356 nt
Filed under: uncultured Actinomycetales bacterium
Lineage: Bacteria; Bacillati; Actinomycetota; Actinomycetes; Actinomycetales
Description: bacterial SSU rRNA
Rfam family: Bacterial small subunit ribosomal RNA
Source: RNAcentral
AACGGAAAGGCUCCAGCUUGCUGGAGUACUCGAGUGGCGAACGGGUGAGUAACACGUGGGUAAUCUGCCCUGCACUCUGGGAUAAGCCUGGGAAACUGGGUCUAAUACUGGAUAUGACCUUUCUCCUUAUGGGGUUUGGUGGAAAGUUUUUCGGUGUAGGAUGAGCCCGCGGCCUAUCAGCUUGUUGGUGGGGUGAUGGCCUACCAAGGCGACSACGGGUAGCCGGCCUGAGAGGGUGAUCGGCCACAUUGGGACUGAGAUACGGCCCAGACUCCUACGGGAGGCAGCAGUGGGGAAUAUUGCACAAUGGGCGGAAGCCUGAUGCAGCGACGCCGCGUGAGGGAUGACGGCCUUCG